CCUACGGGAGGCAGCAGUAAGGAAUCUUCCACAAUGGACGAAAGUCUGAUGGAGCAACGCCGCGUGCAGGAUGAAGGCUUUCGGGUCGUAAACUGCUUUUAUAUGGGAAGAUUAUGACGGUACCAUAUGAAUAAGGACCGGCUAACUACGUGCCAGCAGCCGCGGUAAUACGUAGGGUCCAAGCGAUAUCCGGAAUUACUGGGCGUAAAGCGUGUGUAGGUGGAUUAAUAAGUGUGAUGCGAAAUCCGGCGGCUCAACCGUCUGGACUGUGUCGCAUACUGUUAGUCUAGAGGACGGCAGAGGUAAGUGGAAUUACGGGUGUAGCAGUGAAAUGCGUAGAUAUCCGUAGGAACACCAAUGGCGAGGGCAGCUUACUGGGCCACACCUGACACUGAGACACGAAAGCGUGGGGAGCGAACAGGAUUAGAUACCCUGGUAGUCCACGCCGUAAACGAUGCAUACUAUUAGUAUGGGGUAUCGACCCCCUGUGCUGAGAAGCUAACGCGAUAAGUAUGCCGCCUGGGGAGUACGAGCGUAAGCUUAAAACUCAAAGGAAUUG
This 559-nucleotide ribosomal RNA is filed under the name uncultured bacterium. RNAcentral's name for it is "bacterial SSU rRNA". It matches the Rfam family "Bacterial small subunit ribosomal RNA", at positions 338 to 912 of the family's 1533-position model. The record is from RNAcentral.